GGCCUUAUAAAUCAUCACCACAAGUUCAUCAUCUCAUUUGCAGAGGAUGAAGCGGGAGAACUUUAUUUUCUGGCAACCUCCUACCCAAAUGCAAUGUCUCCCUUUGGCACGCUUUACAAAUUCAUGGAUCCAUCCAGGAGGGCACCUCCAGGAAAAUGCAAAUGCAAGCCACUUCCUGUAAAGCUCAGAGGGAAGAAAGUGCCAUUCAUACCUAGAGAA
Sinocyclocheilus anshuiensis is the source of this 219-nucleotide long non-coding RNA. RefSeq lists it as uncharacterized. The transcript has 3 exons. Lineage: Eukaryota; Metazoa; Chordata; Actinopteri; Cypriniformes; Cyprinidae. The record is from RefSeq and is a predicted model, not a curated record.